AAUAGAUACCCAGGUAGUCCACGCCGUAAACGAUGAAUACUAGGUGUAGGGGUUGUCAUGACCUCUGUGCCGCCGCUAACGCAUUAAGUAUUCCGCCUGGGGAGUACGGUCGCAAGAUUAAAACUCAAAGGAAUUGACGGGGGCCCGCACAAGCAGCGGAGCAUGUGGUUUAAUUCGAAGCAACGCGAAGAACCUUACCUAGACUUGACAUCUCCUGCAUUACCCUUAAUCGGGAAAGUUCCUUCGGGGACAGGAAGACAGGUGGUGCAUGGUUGUCGUCAGCUCGUGUCGUGAGAUGUUGGGUUAAGUCCCGCAACGAGCGCAACCCUUAUUGUUAGUUGCUACCAUUUAGUUGAGCACUCUAGCGAGACUGCCCGGGUUAACCGGGAGGAAGGUGGGGAUGACGUCAAAGUCAUCGAUGCCCCUUAUGUCUAGGGCUACACACGUGCUACAAUGGCAAGUCAAAGAGACGCAAUACCGCGAGGUGGAGCAAAACUCGAAAAACUUGUCUCAGUUCGGAUUGUAGGCUGAAACCUCGCUACA
Molecule: ribosomal RNA, 543 nt
Filed under: uncultured bacterium
Lineage: Bacteria
Description: bacterial SSU rRNA
Rfam family: Bacterial small subunit ribosomal RNA
Source: RNAcentral